AAAAAAGAAAAAAAAACAGCAGCCCACCGCCGGCCGUCGCACCAGCACCGCCGUUCGCCGACACCUAACUAAAGAAAUAAGAACCAAAGCAAAAAGAAAAAGAAAAAGAAAAAGCAAGCAAAGAAAAAAAAUUUUCAAAGAAAAAAGAACACCCACGAAAAACAGGAAAGCAAAGAAGGAAAAAGGGGGAGGAGGGAAGUGCGCCGUCGUCGGCCGUCGUCGGCCGUCGCACCGUAGGCGGAGGAAGCGCCGGCAGCAACAAAGAAAUUGGUAGGGGGCUGAUAGAAGAAGAAGAAGAAGAAGAAGAAAGAGAGAAAAAGAAGAAAAAAAAAUUAAC
This 337-nucleotide long non-coding RNA is filed under the name Gossypium barbadense (sea-island cotton). RNAcentral's name for it is "long non-coding RNA (GBAR_LNC021437)". Lineage: Eukaryota; Viridiplantae; Streptophyta; Magnoliopsida; Malvales; Malvaceae. The record is from RNAcentral.